GAUGAACGCUAGCGGGAGGCUUAAUACAUGCAAGUCGCGGGGUAACGAUGAAGCUUGCUUCAGGCGACGACCGGCGCACGGGUGAGUAACGCGUACACGACCUACCUUAUACAGAGGGAUAGCCCUGGGAAACUGGGAGUAAUACCUCAUAGUAUUGAUUAAUUACGAUUUUUCAAUUAAAGUUCCGGCGGUAUAAGAUGGGUGUGCGUUAGAUUAGCUAGUUGGUGAGGUAACGGCUCACCAAGGCGACGAUCUAUAGGGGGCGUGAGAGCGUGGACCCCCACACGGGUACUGAGACACGGACCCGACUCCUACGGGAGGCAGCAGUAAGGAAUAUUGGACAAUGGGGGCAACCCUGAUCCAGCCAUCCCGCGUGCAGGAAGACGGCCCUAUGGGUUGUAAAACUGCUUUUAUCAGGGAAGAAAAUUAGUCAUUUAUGAUUAACUGACGGUACCUGAGGAAUAAGCACCGG
RNAcentral lists this ribosomal RNA (472 nucleotides) under uncultured bacterium. Its description in RNAcentral is "bacterial SSU rRNA". It matches the Rfam family "Bacterial small subunit ribosomal RNA", at positions 28 to 496 of the family's 1533-position model. The record is from RNAcentral.